Molecule: transfer RNA, 85 nt
Filed under: Felis catus (domestic cat)
Lineage: Eukaryota; Metazoa; Chordata; Mammalia; Carnivora; Felidae
Also listed under: 3 other names
Rfam family: tRNA
About the family: Transfer RNA (tRNA) molecules are approximately 80 nucleotides in length. Their secondary structure includes four short double-helical elements and three loops (D, anti-codon, and T loops).
Source: Rfam by way of RNAcentral
GCCUGGGUGGCUCAGUUGGUUGAGUGUCCGACUUCGGCUCAGAUCACGAUCUCAUGGUUUGUGGGUUCAAGCCCUGCGUCAGGCU